UCCACAUCACCAUCUUUUCCAAAUUGAUAUAACAUUAGAAAAAAAUCAACUGUUAGGAUAGUCCCGGUGGACACUAGUGGAACGUCCUGCCUCAGAACGCACAGCCUCGACGUUCCACGGACAGGCCACUGUGUGCGUUCGAGCAGUCUACCCACUGCUGCCCUUGGGCACCGUGUGAGUAUGGGUAUCGAUUUUAAAAUACGCCCCAUCUCCUAUACUACAUUCCCUGGGUUGUGGACUUUGUGCCUUUGGGUAUGGCUGUUUUCUGUUAUAAGUAAUACAUUGGAAUUAUUCUUUGGAGCUCUCUCACAUAUAGUAGGUCUACAUAGCACACAGAGGUAGACAGUUUAACAGUCACACGGAACAAAUAAAACAUGUAUAAAAUCCUCUAUGACGUCCUUUCUUUUCUUCGUGUUCAGCUCCAGGUUGUUUCCGCUGCACAUCGCUGUUAGACACUGCGCUUCUUGUCUGUCUAUAGGCUGUCUCGUCGUUGUUAUUGACGACACUUGUGACGUUUUUAGUCUCACAAUGGAUUCUGAGGACCCCCUUUUAUUAUAGUGCUGUGAUAAUACAAACAUACAGCCUCCUUAAUAUCUAAACAUAUUAUUUGAAAGACUGAAGACGGAGAGUUCUGCAUGAAAGAUGUAUUUUAUUAUUGUCAGGGACGUGGCACACAACCAUUGGUUGAUGCAAUGUGGCGUGUCAAUUGUAGGCGGCCUCGUAGGAUUUCAAUGGGCUGGGCUGCAGAGGAGCUCAGCAUUUCUUCCGAAUCUCUCUCCCCCUCAGCUAUGCCGGUGUGUAAAGGGGUGAAUUUGUCUAUGGGAGCCGAGACUAAUCGCACGGUGGAAGUAGAGAGACGCCGAUGAAGUGUGUAUCAGUCAUUGCUGGUGGCUGGCAGCGACGGCAGAGCAGAGCGUGACAUGCCAGUGUUUUUUCCUGAGGGGAUGUGUUUUCUUGGUCUUGGAUCCACGGAGUGAUGGCAGAAUGUUCCAUUUAUUCUAUGGAUCUUUCCUUCCCGUCGUAUUUCUGCCACCACGGCAAGAUCCAGAGCAGGGCGGUGUAACUGGGUGAUUCAACAUCACUGUUAUAGUGAUCGGAAGAGACACGGAGGAUUUUGCAACAAGUGCAAGUAGGAAAACCGUCAUUACACCUUUCCCCUUCAUAAUCAACGCAGUUCUCUCUGGCAGUGUUCAAGCCUCAGCAGCAGUCAAUCGGAGUGUUUCUGGCUUCUGGCUGAUUUGUUAUUUUUCUGAUGAUCACGGUUGGCAGCUCCCUUCUGGUUUCGUUUUACAGCUCAGAGUGUCAGUGAGUAGUGCUGGUUAUAUAGGGACUUGUAUUUCCAUCCACUUACAUCCACGGUUUUAUCCAACCAAGGUCGUUUUGUCCAGCCGGCGCGUUAUAUCCGACCGAGGCUUUAUAUUCAACCGAGCCCGUUUUUUCCAACCGAGGUUGUUUCUCAGUUUUUAUUUUUAUUAUUAUUUUUCCGAACAUGACUCUAGUAUUUAGUGAGAUAUAAUAUUGAAAUGUGAAAUUAAAGACAUGACUAUAUUCUGGUUGGUUUGUUUCCGUUUUAUUCAACAAAGCACCACGUUGUACACAUAAGCAUACCUAGAUACGGCUUUGGGAUGGGAUGGAAAUGAGUGAACCGAUUUCAAGCUUUGACAAGUUUAGAAAUAACAGUCACGGGGAGAUGUUCACUCUUUACACGGUCGCUGACAGACAGAGCGUUUUGGGUCUGGGACUAUGAACGGGGCGGAGCUACCGCAGCUAUCCAAUCAUAGCUGACUGGUACAUUCCACCACGCCUCUAUUAUCCGAACAUGACUCUGGUAUGCAGCUACGGCUGAGCUAUCCAACAGUGGCCGAUACAGAUAUCCACUCCCGGCUGACUCGUCCAACCAUGGAUGGCUGUAUUCUGAAGUGUCCAACCGUGGCUCUGUUAUUUAUUCCUAACCUACAAUGAAUCUCGAGAGCUGGAGAGGUGCCAAGUUCAUGUAGGGAAAGCCCCUGGCACUUUUCGGGUUCGGGCUGGGAUCGAAAUGAGUGAAACGACUUCAAGCUUUGACAACUUUGAAAUAGUAGCCAGGGGAGAAGUUCACUCUGGCACUGAGUGUAGUGGAGGCUCAGGACGGCUCUGCUUCGCGUAGAGGAAGACCCUGGAAAUUGAUUACACGUAAGACUUGUGCUGUUUCAUAUUGUCAUACUCUCCUUUCCUAAGUUUAUAUUCUGUCCAUGACGGAGGUGAUAUAAUAUUGAAAUGUGAAAAUAAAGACAUGACUAUAUUCUGGUUGGUAUUUUUUACAUUUAUUAAUCAAAGCGCAUUGUACACAUAAGCAAACAUAUACGGUUUUGGGCUGGGAUGGAAAUGAGUCAAACGAUUUCAAGCUUUGACAAGUUUAGAAAUAACAGUCACGGGGAGAUGUUCACUCUUGCACGGUCGCUGACAGACUGAGAGUGUUUUGGGUCUGGGACUAUGAACGGGGCGGAGCUACCGCAGCUAUCCAAUCAUAGCUGACUGGUACAUUCCACCACGCCUCUAUUAUCCGAACAUGACUCUAGUAUGCAGCUACGGCUGAGCUAUCCAACAGUGGCCGAUACAGAUAUCCACUCCCGGCUGACUCGUCCAACCAUGGCUGUAUUCUGAAGUGUCCAACCGUGGCUCUGUUAUUUAUUCCUAACCUACAAUGAAUCUCGAGAGCUGGAGAGGCGCCAAGUUCAUGUAGGGAAAGCCCCUGGCACUUCUCAGUUUCGGUCUGGAAUCGAAAUGAGUCAAACGACUUCAAACUUUGACAACUUUGAAAUAGUAGCCAGAGGAGAAGUUCACUCUGGCACUGAGUUCGUGAAGUGGAGGCUCAGGACGGCUCUGCUUCACGUAGAGGAAGCCCCUGGAAAUUGAGUACACAUUAAACUUGUUCUUUAAAAAAAUUGUUAUGUUUUCAUACUGUCAUACUCUGCCUCCCUAAGUGUAUAUUACCUCCAUGAGCGAGGUGAUAUAAUAUUGAAAUGUGAAAAUAAAGACAUGACUAUAUUCUGGUUGGUUUGUUUCCGUUUUUUCAACAAAGCACCACAUUGUACACAUGCUUAAGCAUACAUUGAUUUUUAAAAAAUUUUUUGAAAAAUAUUUUUUAUUUUCAUUUCACAUUCAAAUACAAUUACAAAUUCAGUGCAUAACAUGGAUACUUACAAACAGUAUCAAAAAGUACCGUAACAAUAUAAGAAUAUCAAAACUCCUAAAAAAAAGUACUGUUCUGCAGAUACGGUUUUGGGCUGGGAUGGAAAUGAGUGAAAGACUUCAAGCUUUGACAAGUUUAGAAAUAACAGUCACGGGGAGAUGUUCACUCUUACACGGUCGCUGACAGACUGAGAGUGUUUUGGGUCUGGGACUAUGAACGGGGCGGAGCUACCGCAGCUAUCCAAUCAUAGCUGACUGGUACAUUCCACCACGCCUCUAUUAUCCGAACAUGACUCUAGUAUGCAGCUACGGCUGAGCUAUCGUACAGUGGCCGAUACAGAUAUCCACUCCCGGCUGACUCGUCCAACCAUGGCUGUAUUCUGAAGUAUCCAAAUAUGGCUCUGUUAUCCAUUUCUAACCUACAAUGAAUCUCGAGAGCUGGAGAGGUGCCAAGUUCAUGUAGGGAAAGCCCCUGGCACUUCUCAGUUUCGGUCUGGAAUCGAAAUGAGUCAAACGACUUCAAGCUUUGACAACUUUGAAAUAGUAGCCAGAGGAGAAGUUCACUCUGGCACUGAGUUCGUGUAGUGGAGGCUCAGGACGGCUCUGCUUCACGAAGAGGAAGACCCUGGAAAUUGAGUACACACUAAACUUGCUCUUUAAAAAAAAUUGUUAUGUUUUCAUACUGUCAUACUCUGCCUCCCUAAAUGUAUAUUACCUCCAUGAACGAGGUGAUAUAAUAUUGAAAUGUGAAAAUAAAGACAUGACUAUAUUCUG
Long non-coding RNA from Oncorhynchus keta (chum salmon), 3945 nucleotides. RefSeq lists it as uncharacterized. Lineage: Eukaryota; Metazoa; Chordata; Actinopteri; Salmoniformes; Salmonidae. The record is from RefSeq and is a predicted model, not a curated record. The transcript is spliced from 3 exons.